GUCCACGCCGUAAACGAUGUGCGCUAGACGUCGGGCAGCUUGCUGUUCGGUGUCGCAGCUAACGCAUUAAGCGCACCGCCUGGGGAGUACGGUCGCAAGAUUAAAACUCAAAGGAAUUGACGGGGGCCCGCACAAGCGGUGGAGCAUGUGGUUUAAUUCGAUGCAACGCGCAGAACCUUACCAGCCCUUGACAUCCCGGUCGCGGUUUCCAGAGAUGGAUUCCUUCAGUUCGGCUGGACCGGU
RNAcentral lists this ribosomal RNA (243 nucleotides) under uncultured bacterium. RNAcentral describes it as "partial 16S ribosomal RNA". It matches the Rfam family "Bacterial small subunit ribosomal RNA", at positions 793 to 1032 of the family's 1533-position model. The record is from RNAcentral.